This is a long non-coding RNA of Marmota monax (woodchuck), 538 nucleotides long. RefSeq lists it as uncharacterized. The record is from RefSeq and is a predicted model, not a curated record. NCBI's taxonomy places the organism in Eukaryota, Metazoa, Chordata, Mammalia, Rodentia, Sciuridae. The transcript is spliced from 3 exons.
GAGGACACACAGUCCCUUGUACUUGUGCAACAUAAAUUCCCAUCGAUUUUCCUUAGAGUUCAUUUCAGGGCCCACACUUUCCCCUGCUCUCUUUGCUUUUUGGUGAUCUGUUUCCCUUGGCAGCUGCUCUGAGGUAUACAAGACUCAGAUGGGAGGAAUGGAGGCAUCUGGGAGAUCAGCUGUACCCAAUCCUCUCAUUUGACAGAGGAGAGAAUGGAGGUCCAGAGGGGUAACACAGGACCCCAGGAGUCUACAGAAAGGUUGGAGGCAGUGUCACCUUUCUGGUUGGAGGUCUGGCUUCCUCAGUGACUUUUGAAGGGCAAGAUGAUGGAACCCAGAAGAGGAGGACUGAGAACUCCUCCAGGGUGAACUUUAGCCAGUGGAAACGAGGAAAUGGGAGGGUGUCUGCAGAUAAAUCCUGUUUUCUUUUUCCAUGGGUCUAUUUUUUUUCCUAUACAUCACAUGUGGAGAUGUCCAGUAUGAUGGAGUGACUCUUUGAGCGUCUUUGCAGUAUAUUAAAGUAUUGCCAGCUGGGUAA